UGAUGACUUUGCAGCCCCUGCCUGAAAAACAGUAGCGCAUUUGGAUAGUGGUCGAUCUGAGAACAAUGAGACGGGCCCGCACGUGCACGUGAAGAGUCCAUUUUGCAUUUUCAGUCUUUGAACGAAAACAACGACUCCCGGUCGGAAUAUUAUCGCUAUUUUACGAGAAAAAUCGCAUAAAAAUUGAUUUUAAACAGCGUUUGACAUGCUUCGAAGUACGGUAAUGGAAUAUUUUGAACUUUUUUGUCACGAUACGCGUCCGCGCGUCACCCUUCGUUACCCUUCGGAUAGUGUCUUGAAUGCACGAACAAAACGCCACUAUUUGGAUAUAACUAUGGAUUAUUUGGAACCAAACCAACAUUUGUUGUUGAAGUAGAAGUCCUGGGAGUGCAUUCUGACAAAGAACAGCAAAGGACCUGAGCCCUAGGACCAUGCCUCAGGACUACCUGGCUUGAUGACUCCUUGCUGUCCCCAGUUCACCUGGCCGUGCUGCUGCUCCAGCUCCAACUGCUCUGCCUGCAGCUAUGGAAACCUGACCUGUUGACCGGACGUGCUACCUGUCCCAGACCUGCUGUUUUCAACUCUCUAGAGACAGCAGGAGUGGUAGAGAUACUCUCAAAGAUCGGCUAUGAAAAAGCCUACUGACACUUACUCUUGUGUUACUGACUUGUUGCACCAUCGACAACUACUAUGAUUAUUAUUAUUUGACCAUGCUGGUCAUAUAUGAACAUUUGAACAUCUUGGCCAUGUGCUGUUAUAAUCUCCACCCGGCACAGCCAGAAGAGGACUGGCCACCCCUCAUAGCCUGGUUCCUCUCUAGGUUUCUUCCUAGGUUUUGGCAUUUCUAGGGAGUUUUUCCUAGCCACCGUGCUUCUACACCUGCAUUGCUUGCUGUUUGGGGUUUUAGGCUGGGUUUCUGUACAGCACUUAGAUAUAUCAGCUGAUUUAAGAAGGGCUAUAUAAAUACAUUUGAUUUGAUUUUGAUGAUAGGAGAAAACAACAACAAUACUAACAUAAAUGAGUGAAAAGAAGGAAGCUUGUACAGAAUAAAAACAUUUAAAAACAUGCAUUCUGCUUGUAAUAAGGCACUAAAGUAAAACUGCAAAGAAAAUUGGCAAAGAAAUGUCCCGAAAACAAAGCGUUCAAAUCCAACACAACACAUCACUGUGUGCCACUCUUUAUGUUUUCAAGCAUGGUGGUGGCUACAUCAUGUUAUGGGUAUGCUUAUGAGUGUUUUCUCAAGGCUGUAAACAUCUUGAUUCUAUGUUUAGCGGAGAUCUUCUGUGUAUAAAGUGACAAGUAAGGGCAAAAAAGCAUCUGAUGACGCACUUAGCCGUUCUGAUAAAUAACAAGCAUUUUCAAGUGCAUUAACAGUGGUUUUGGGAAAAAGCUCAGAGAUUUAACAAUGCUCCUACGAAGGUUCUAACAAACCUUAAGAUGCUUUUGGGAAACUGGGCCCUGUUAAGAUCUAUCCUUAUUUCAUUGUCUUGCUGCUGGAUCAUUUGGAUUUUUGCUUAUUAUUUUGGAUUUCUUGCUUUUGGAACAAACCAUGUACUUUAAUUGGAGGACAAAGACAUUUACUCGACUAAAACAAAAACUUGAUUUAGCAUUUUCAUUUGUGAUUCAGAGGCUGAUGCUAUACAUUUGAGUUGAUUUUGGGGGUAUUUUGGUUUGCUUAGAUUCUGUAUGUCAGCUGAUUCAAUUGUGAAUAGACAAAAUUGUUUCCAUGAUAUUCGUGACUUACAUUAUAUUUCUAUAAACAAUGCUGCUUUAUAUGUUUUCAUACACUACAAUACUCAUCUCAUAUGUAUAUACUGUACUCCAUACCAUCUACUACAUCUUGCCUAUGCGUUCGGCCAUCACUCAUUUAUAUAUUUUUAUGUACAUAUUCGUAUUCAUUCCUUUACACUUGUGUGUACAAGGUAGUUGUUGUGGAAUUGGUAGAUUACUUGUUAGAUAUUAAUGCAUGGUCGGAACUAGAAGCAUAAGCAUUUCGCUACACUUGCAUUAACACCUGCUAACCAUGUGUAUGUGACAAAUAAAUUUGAUUUGAUUUGAUUUAUUAGCGGCAUUGGGUUUA
This 2080-nucleotide long non-coding RNA is filed under the name Salmo salar (Atlantic salmon). RNAcentral's name for it is "lncRNA (ENSSSAG00000113068.1)". The record is from RNAcentral. Lineage: Eukaryota; Metazoa; Chordata; Actinopteri; Salmoniformes; Salmonidae.